Molecule: long non-coding RNA, 1130 nt
Filed under: Homo sapiens (human)
Lineage: Eukaryota; Metazoa; Chordata; Mammalia; Primates; Hominidae
Description: DPPA2 upstream binding RNA
Source: RNAcentral
ACGCGGCGCAGCUCCCAAAGUUGCAGACAGCCCGGCGAACCGCGCAAUGCGCUUCUUCUGCCUGCAGCAGAGAAAAGGAAAGAAAACUCCGCAGGGGCUCCGUUGGCUUCUCCACGAGUGACAACCAUGUUUUCCCAGAUAGAAGACCGGAGCCCUGCUCCUUUGCGAUCCGCCGAGGGCUGCAGAGAGCAUCCUCAUCCAUUUGGGCACCCCUGCCCAGGAAGAGCCCGGCCAUCCCUUUCCGGACUGGAUCCUUAAGAGGUGAAUUUUCUUCCGUGGAUUCCGAUUUGCUCCGUCUGACCAGCCUAGGCAAUCCAGCAUCGCGUGGUACCAGUGCCGCUGGGCACACUGGCUUCACGCCGGCUCCGCCUCACCAGCAAGCGCAUUCCCAGAGGAGAAAAUGAGACACUGAGUGGGACUCAGGGAUUGCUCCAGGCCACACAGUCAGCAGGAGGCAAAGCCCAGAUUCAAAUGCAGAUUACUCAGCUCCACAAUCCACAUCCUCACAGGAGGCUGCACUCCUUGCCCAAGCGUCAGACAGGAGCAAAGAGAAAGAAGGCAACCAGCUGGCUACUUUCUUCCCUUCUUGGAUGCCUCCAACAGGAUAAAACACUAACUCAGAGAAGAAAUUUAACUGCAAAUUUGGUUAAUGACCAUGGAUUCCUAAUGAGAAGAAAAGCUAGACACUGAGAGUUUAGAAUAAACUCAAGAAUCUUAAAAAUUUUCCCAUGGAACUGCCUUUGCACCUCUAUAAAAAAUUAAUUGACCAUAUGCUUAUUUCACCAACUAGAACUUCCAAUAAAACAUUGAAUAGAAGUGAUGAGAGUGGAUAUAUUUGCCUUGUUCCUGAUUUUAGAUGAUAAACAUUUUGUCUUUCACUUUAGAUAUGAUGUUAGUUCUAGGGGCUUUUUGAAGAUGAGCAUUAUUAUGUUGCAAAGGUUCCAUCCUCCUUCUAGUUUGUGAGGAAAUUUUUAUCUUAAAUGGACAUUGAAUUUUAUCAAAUGCCUUCCCUGCGUCUAUUGAUAUGACCACAUGGUUUUUCUUAAGUCUAUUAGUAUGGUGAAUUACACUGAAGAUUUUUGAAUGGUGAACCAGACUUGCAUUCCCCCAAAUAAACUCUACUUACUUAU